Molecule: ribosomal RNA, 411 nt
Filed under: uncultured Parabacteroides sp.
Lineage: Bacteria; Pseudomonadati; Bacteroidota; Bacteroidia; Bacteroidales; Tannerellaceae
Description: bacterial SSU rRNA
Rfam family: Bacterial small subunit ribosomal RNA
Source: RNAcentral
GGAGGAAUAUUGGACAAUGGAGGCAACUCUGAUCCAGCCAUGCCGCGUGAAGGACUAAGGCCCUAUGGGCUGUAAACUUCUUUUAGACGCAGAGCAAUAAGGGCCACGUGUGGUCCGAUGAGAGUAUGCGUAGAAUAAGCAUCGGCUAACUCCGUGCCAGCAGCCGCGGUAAUACGGAGGAUGCGAGCGUUAUCCGGAUUCAUUGGGUUUAAAGGGUGCGUAGGUUGCCGAUUAAGUCAGCGGUGAAAGUCAGUGGCUCAACCAUUGAACUGCCGUUGAAACUGGUUGGCUUGAGUACGUACGGGGCAGGCGGAAUGCGUGGUGUAGCGGUGAAAUGCAUAGAUAUCACGCAGAACCCCGAUCGCGAAGGCAGCCUGCCAGGCCGUGACUGACACUGAUGCACGAAAGCGU